UACGGGGGGGGCAAGCGUUGUUCGGAAUUACUGGGCGUAAAGGGCGCGUAGGCGGUUGGAUAAGUCAGCUGUGAAAACCACGGGCUUAACUCGUGGCCUGCAGUUGAGACUGUCUGGCUUGAGUGUGGGAGAGGAGAGUGGAAUUCCUGGUGUAGCGGUGAAAUGCGUAGAUAUCAGGAGGAACACCGGUGGCGAAGGCGGCUCUCUGGGCCGGAACUGACGCUGAGGCACGAAAGCGUGGGGAGCAAACAGG
This 253-nucleotide ribosomal RNA is filed under the name uncultured bacterium. Its description in RNAcentral is "partial 16S ribosomal RNA". It matches the Rfam family "Bacterial small subunit ribosomal RNA", at positions 524 to 776 of the family's 1533-position model. The record is from RNAcentral.